GAAGGCCAUCAUUUGAAAUGCAUAGUUCAGAUGAUUUAUCCGUGAUUGUUAAUUUUUAAUAGUCUUUCGCUCCUAUCUGGUGACCUCC
RNAcentral lists this small nucleolar RNA (88 nucleotides) under Lupinus angustifolius (narrow-leaved blue lupine). Its description in RNAcentral is "snoRNA snosnR60_Z15". It matches the Rfam family "Small nucleolar RNA snR60/Z15/Z230/Z193/J17". From Rfam's summary of the family: The members of this family belong to the C/D class of snoRNAs which contain the C (UGAUGA) and D (CUGA) box motifs. Most of the members of the box C/D family function in directing site-specific 2'-O-methylation of substrate RNAs. The family includes the yeast snoRNA snR60 (also known as Z15) and the corresponding human guide snoRNA U80 (SNORD80). Lineage: Eukaryota; Viridiplantae; Streptophyta; Magnoliopsida; Fabales; Fabaceae. The record is from Rfam by way of RNAcentral.